Molecule: ribosomal RNA, 305 nt
Filed under: uncultured bacterium
Lineage: Bacteria
Description: bacterial SSU rRNA
Rfam family: Bacterial small subunit ribosomal RNA
Source: RNAcentral
CCUACGGGACGCAGCAGUGAGGGAUAUUGGUCAAUGGGGGAAACCCUGAACCAGCAACGCCGCGUGAGGGAAGACGGUUUUCGGAUUGUAAACCUCUGUCCUCUGUGAAGAUAAUGACGGUAGCAGAGGAGGAAGCUCCGGCUAACUAUGUGCCAGCAGCCGCGGUAAUACAUAGGGAGCAAGCGUUAUCCGGAUUUAUUGGGUGUAAAGGGUGCGUAGACGGGAAAUUAAGUUAGUUGUGAAAUCCCUCGGCUUAACUGAGGAACUGCAACUAAAACUGAUUUUCUUGAGUACUGGAGAGGAAA